CUUCUUCUUCUUCUUCUUGUUUUUCUUUUUUUAAUGGAUUUUGAUGGGAAGGUUUUGUUCUUUAUGGUUUGAUGUAUAAUCCCCAUUGAGAAAAAUUAUAGGGAAAAAAAAAUUAUUCCACAAAACAAUAAUCAACAGUUUGAUAUUCAUGUCAUAUUUUCUUCCAAAACAUCGAUAAGCAAUGGUAUUAUACAGCUUUUCACAUGAUGGGUUAUGUUAUAAACCAACUGGCUUUCUGCGUAUUUGUUAAAUUUUGGGUUUUUGGCUAGAAACAAAAGAGUUGAAGGCAAUGAAGGACCUGGAAGUGAUGUAUUGACAACACCCAUUUCAAAGGAUCUGUGUCUGAAACCAGAAUCGAGGAGGUCUGGGAAAGUUCUCAACAAGAAGAGAAGCUAUGCACAGUUCCAUUUGGACUUGGGUCAAUCUGAUUUCAAUUUCCGUACAUGUUCCGCAUGUGGGGUUAAAUAUGCUCCUGGGGAAGAAGAGGAUGAGAAGAACCAUAAAACAUUUCACAGGAAUUACACUCACGGGUUUCAAUACAAGGGUUGCAGGAAUGAAAGGGUCGUUCAUAUGCCUUGCUCUGAGUUGGGGCGCAUUGUUUUGGUGUUAGGCAGUGACCCUCCUGCUCAGAGAAAUAAGGUACAGGAGGUUGUAAAGAUGAUGGAAAUUGAACUUGGUGGUGGAUGGAUUUUUCAUAAGCUCUGUAAGGUGUAUCUAUUUAUAUCUUCUCAGAGAGUUGCUGGUUGUCUAGUUGCUGAACCAAUAAAAGAAGCAUUCAAAGUCCUUCCUUGUUCAGUGGAUAAAAGAUCUGAUGCUACUAAAAAGAAUUCGAAAUCAGAUUCAACCACUCUUCGAUUUGGGGAAAUCAUAUUGCAGAGGGAAACCACAAAGAAAGCCCCCACUGUCAAUUCUCUUGAAGUGUUGGAUAGGAAGAGCAAUGGAGCUAUUGUCUGUGAAGAGAAAGCUGUGUCCGCUAUUUGUGGCAUUAGAGCAAUCUGGGUCACUCCCUCUAACAGAAGAAAGCGCAUUGCCGCCCAGUUACUGGAUGCUGUGAGUUCUUUUUGCUCCAUAUAUUACUGCCGCUGAUAUAAGCAAAGAAGAAAAUUGAUCAGGUAGAUGGAAUUCUUCACUCGUUAUUGAGAGGGUAGCCCACAAAAGCUUGAACCUGAACAAAUGUCAGCUCUCAACUUGUGAAAUUGAUUUUUGAGCUGCACUAUGCGGUUACAGUUUUAUUAAAUCCAGCAAUUGAAAAUUGGAGUUUAUAUGAGCUUGAUUGGUUGGCAUUUCCCUAUUUCAUAAAAUAAUGGAAAAUUUAUAAUUUGGUUCUUGGGUGUUGUCCUAUAUUAUAUUUAGUCUUUAGGUUUUGAGAAAUUAAUUAUUUAGUUCUUGAGUUUUGUAUUAUAUUAAACUUUAGUUUUCAGAUUUUGAGUAAUGAAUUAUUUAGUCCAUUUAAUUUUAAUAUAUAGAACAAUUUAAUUUCUAUAAUUUUAACGUUUAUAACAAUUUCAUCCAUUGAAAGAAUGAUUAAAUUGUCAAAUAUAUUAAAAUUACAGGAAUUAAAAUGUGAUAUAGUGUAAAAUUCAGAAAUUGAAUAAUUAAUUUUGAAAAUCUUAUGGACUAAAGUAUAAUAUAGUGUAAAAUCUAUGAAUUAAAUAAUUAAUUUCUAAAAUUUAGGGACUAAAGUGUAAUACAGGGUAAACCUUAGGUACUAAAUUGUAAAUUUCCCUAAAAUAACAAAGCAACUAUGAGUCAAUCUUUGAGAAGAGUCUUGAAUUUCUGGUCAAGGGAGUGAACCCAUAUCCAUUUAUCUUGUCAAUGAUUGAAAAACUGUUCAAGUGGCUUUUGGUUUGCAAUUUGGUUUACAUAAGUAGUGGUUGGUUCACUUAUUUUUCUCUGCAACCUAUGCAGGAAAAGUUUUUGUAUAGGUUUUACUCUGCAACAAUCUCAGAUAGCAUUCUCCCCACCAACGUCAGCAGGAAAGGCAUUGGCAUUCAGUUAUACUGGAACUGCAUCAUUCAUGGUGUACAAGCCUAAUGCUGUGGACAGUUGAAUGCCAUGAAGCUGCAAUUAUGGUGACUAGUAGUUAGGUGUUGCAGUUUUUAAUUAUAAUUUUGAUCACUAGCAGUUGGACAUUCAAAUGAUUCACAAGCAAGCAGUAGAAAAUAAAAAUGCCAACGAUUCACCUCAACCUUUACACAAAUGAAGCUUUUUAUAUAAAAAAAAAAAUGCGCAUAUGGAGA
RNAcentral lists this unclassified non-coding RNA (2240 nucleotides) under Hevea brasiliensis (rubber tree). Lineage: Eukaryota; Viridiplantae; Streptophyta; Magnoliopsida; Malpighiales; Euphorbiaceae. The record is from RNAcentral.